This 217-nucleotide ribosomal RNA is filed under the name uncultured bacterium. RNAcentral's name for it is "partial 16S ribosomal RNA". It matches the Rfam family "Bacterial small subunit ribosomal RNA", at positions 125 to 334 of the family's 1533-position model. The record is from RNAcentral.
UCUACCCCGCAGUGCGGAAUACCGGCGAGAAAUCGCCGACAAGACCGCAUGGGCCUGUCCUCAUGAAGGAGGACAGGCAAAGGUUUUCGCAAGAGAGCCGCUGUGGGAUGAGCCUGCGGCUGAUUAGCUGGCUGGGGGGGUAACGGCCUACCAAGGCGUCGAUCGGUAGCUGGUCUGAGAGGAUGGUCAGCCACACUGGGACUGAGACACGGCCCAG